This 465-nucleotide ribosomal RNA is filed under the name uncultured bacterium. RNAcentral describes it as "partial 16S ribosomal RNA". It matches the Rfam family "Bacterial small subunit ribosomal RNA", at positions 339 to 795 of the family's 1533-position model. The record is from RNAcentral.
CUACGGGCCGCUGCAGUGAGGAAUUUUGCGCAAUGGGGGGAACCCUGACGCAGCAACGCCGCGUGAGUGAUGAAGGCUUUCGGGUCGUAAAGCUCUGUCAAGUGGGAAGAACCUAUGCAGUGUUAAUAUCACUGUAUACUGACGGUACCACUGAAGGAAGCACCGGCUAACUCCGUGCCAGCAGCCGCGGUAAUACGGGGGGUGCAAGCGUUAUUCGGAAUCAUUGGGCGUAAAGGGCACGUAGGCGGCUUGGUAAGUCAGAUGUGAAAGCCCGGGGCUUAACCCCGGAAGUGCAUUUGAUACUGUCAGGCUUGAGUAUGGGAGAGGGAAGUGGAAUUCCUGGUGUAGAGGUGAAAUUCGUAGAUAUCAGGAGGAACACCGGUGGCGAAGGCGACUUCCUGGACCAAUACUGACGCUGAGGUGCGAAGGCGUGGGUAGCAAACAGGAUUAGAUACCCCGGUAGUC